AAUUGGAGGGCAAGUUUGGUGCCAGCAGCCGCGGUAAUACCGACUCCAAGAGUGUGUAUGAGAGAUGCUGCAGUUAAAAAGUCCGUAGUCAUAGAAGGGCAAAGAGAGAUGCGAGGUCUCACAGUGCGAUGAUGGAGGAGCCGAUGGGGAACAUAGUAUACCAGGGCGAGAGAUGAAAUGCCAAGACCCCUGGUGGACUGAGCGAGGCGAAGGCGAUGUUCUUGUAGGCAUUCGGUGAUCAAGGACGAAGGCUGGAGUAUCGAAAGUGAUUAGAUACCGCAGUAGUUCCAGCAGUAAAAGAUGCCGACAUGCUCAUUGGACACAGUGGGCAGGGAGAAAUCUUAGAGUUCGGGCUCUGGGGAUAGUAUGCUCGCAAGGGUGAAAAUUAAAGAAAUUGACGGAGCUACACCACAAGGAGUGGAUUGUGCGGCUUAAUUUGACUCAACGCGAGGAAACUUACCAGGGCCAAGUAUUGUGUAGAAACGAGCAAUACAGGAGUGGUGCAUGGUCGUUGGAAAUUGAUGGGAUGACUUUGACCUUAAAUGGUUGAAUGAGUGAGAUCUUUUGGACAUGUUCCGCACGGAACAGGAAGGAAAAGGCUAUAACAGAUCCGAGAUGCCCUCAGAUGCCCUGGGCUGCACGCGCAAUACAAUAGCAGGUAGAGAGAGAGACAGGAAGGUGCUCAGAUGGACUAUGUGCUGUAAGGCACAUACGAAAGAGGAA
RNAcentral lists this ribosomal RNA (723 nucleotides) under Vittaforma corneae. Its description in RNAcentral is "SSU rRNA". It matches the Rfam family "Microsporidia small subunit ribosomal RNA", at positions 372 to 1133 of the family's 1311-position model. Lineage: Eukaryota; Fungi; Microsporidia; Nosematidae. The record is from RNAcentral.